GGGGUCGGCCUCCUGCUGCGCAGAACGCCCGGGAGACGCCGGUCCCAGCUUCCAGUUAGGGUUCCGCUCUGCUUUAAAGCGACUUGGAACUACUCCUGGCCCCGCCGAGUUCGGGCCGGCCCUCGCCUGGCUCGCGGGGCCUGGGAGCCACCUGGAACCACGGGGCCGAAGCCCUCCCUCCUCAUUCCCACGGGCCGGACGGCUCCGCGGCAGGUUCCCAGGACAAGAGUGGUUGAUGUCCCCUAGGCCCUGGCCCAUGGAAGGCUUCCCUCAUGAGGAGAGAUGGCCCCAGACGUCCACACUCAGCCACGUGCUCAGGUGCAGGGGUCAUCCCCACCUUGACCCUGUUGCGCUUUCACCAGGAGGCUGCGAGCUGUGAGCUGCGCUGGCUGUAGAUUUCUGUCCAGGCCAGAUCAAGGUCCACACUGAUAUGAAGCAAUUCAGACCCCCAGGAUGACACUAAGAGUGUCUCCCAUUGCAACUCUGGACAGAGAACAGCAUGGGACACCUGGAGUGUAGCCUUUAAAUCACCUCUUCAACCACCUCUCACCCCCAAUGGGCAGGAUCACAGCUCUGAGACAGGAGCCCCUGUGCUUCUCCUUUGCUAGAAGAGCAAUAAAACUUCUUUUGCCUUUUUCUCAAAUCCAUGUCCUCAUUGGAUUGGCAUCGGGGACAAGGACAGAGCUUUCCAUUACCUGAUGCAUCUUGUUUCUUUGCUGAGCCGGUGUUUAUGUCAGGACUGUUUGCAGUUGCUGGUUCAAGCAUCUCUAAAGAGCUCUCUGGAGUCCUUGAUGAACAAAUCACCUUUGCGAGGCUCUGCAGUGCUGCCAUCUGUGGCUGGGAUUUUCACCCUCCUCAUCUGUCCAGUGGUUUUGAUUUCUAUCCUGGGAAAUUUGAGGUUGAUGUUUCAUGUUAAUCUCCUGUAGGAUAUGGUCCCUGUGUUGGCUCAGUUCCCAGGGCUCUGCUGUAGGUCCCGGGCUAGCCGACCUGUGCACCACCUUGAAGAGGGGCUCAGAUCCACACACCUGCAGAUUAGGGAUGAACUCAGGAGUUCAAAAGUCAGAGUUCUUGGGAUGUCCUCCUCACGCUUCUUUUUCUCUGUGACUUUCUGGUACUUUCCAGUUACCACUUCUGUAUUUGUGACCAAACGGCAGGAGAAGGGAGAGGGGAAGAGCCCUUUGGGAGGUUGCCACACCCAGAGUGACACACGUCAGCAACUGGAGAAAACGAUCCUAUUCACAACAGUCUCAAAGAUAAAAAUAUGCCUGAAAUGGGCUUAAUAAAACAGUCUGGCACAGUGGCGUCCCACAGCAUUCCCAGUGUGCGGUGCUGAAGAGCUCUGGACAUGGGACUUCCAAGGAUCAGCAGCUCACUACUGUUCGAAGGCCGUGCGCCCCCAUGCCCAUCACAAUGUGAACAGGAUCUUUUUGUGUGUGGGUAUGGAAAAAAUCAUCAAUCUGAUCAUAAAAUUUAUAUAAAAAGCGCAAGGAUUCACAAUAGCCAAACAAUUUCAAAAAGGAAUGAAGUUGGAGGACUAACAAUUUUGAAUUUGAAAACUUGCUACAAAACUAUAGUAAUAAAGUGAGCGAUCAACGUCCAGAUCCAUGGAGCCCAGGUAGGCCCAUCUGGACUGGUCAGUUAACUUAACGACGCUGCCAAGGAUUCCCAUGGGGAAAAGGGCUGUCUGUCCCACAAUGACACAAUGUGACCAGGUACCAUGUGUCAGAGAUAGUGGAGACCCUCGCUUCAUGCCUAUCACAAAAAUGAGCCCAAAUGAACCUUGAAGACAUGGAACCCUGAACUCAAAGGAAAGGGGGAUCUCCACGACUGUGCCAGACAGUCCCCUGGACAGACACCAAGGCAGGGUCCAUGAAGGAGAGGGACUGAACCCAUCACACUGACAGUUCCAUGCUCCAUGACUUCAUUAAGGAAGUGACGUUUGGGAGAAAACAUUUGCAGAUUGCCGCUGUGACAACGGACUCGCACUUCACACUCGGGGACACGGGCACCGGGCACCGCCCUGGCUGCUCUGCCACUGCAGCUCAGAUUUUAAAGGGACAGGUUUCUCUCUCCUCCUCUCUCCCUGCCCCUCCCUGAGCUCAGGGAAACAGGUCACCUUUCUUCCCAUCCACGCAGACUCCUGUCCCUGAGCACACACCCUCCAUAGGCAGGACAUCCUCCAGACUCUGGGGAUGGCCCAGAAGGUCUCAGAAAUGACUGUCUCCCACGUUAACAAGUGAAUUUCAGCUCCCACAGAGACAGGUGGAGUGUGGCCUUGGAGUCGCCUCUGAACGCCCCUGUUCCUGCCGAUCUGUGGGACAGGGUCCGCUGUGUUUCCCCUUUGCUGACAAAGCAAUAAACCUUCUUUUCCUUUUUCUCAAAA
Molecule: long non-coding RNA, 2383 nt
Organism: Marmota monax (woodchuck)
Lineage: Eukaryota; Metazoa; Chordata; Mammalia; Rodentia; Sciuridae
Exons: 4
Source: RefSeq, a predicted model, not a curated record